CAGACAAACUCCGAAUGCCAAUUAAUUUAACUUGGGAGUCAGAACAUGGGUGAUAAGGUCCGUGUUCGAAAGGGAAACAGCCCAGACCACCAGCUAAGGUCCCAAAAUAUAUGUUAAGUGGAAAAGGAUGUGGCGUUGCCCAGACAACUAGGAUGUUGGCUUAGAAGCAGCCAUCAUUUAAAGAGUGCGUAAUAGCUCACUAGUCGAGUGACACUGCGCCGAAAAUGUACCGGGGCUAAACAUAUUACCGAAGCUGUGGAUUGUCCUUUGGACAAUGGUAGGAGAGCGUUCUAAGGGCGUUGAAGCAUGAUCGUAAGGACAUGUGGAGCGCUUAGAAGUGAGAAUGCCGGUGUGAGUAGCGAAAGACGGGUGAGAAUCCCGUCCACCGAUUGACUAAGGUUUCCAGAGGAAGGCUCGUCCGCUCUGGGUUAGUCGGGUCCUAAGCUGAGGCCGACAGGCGUAGGCGAUGGAUAACAGGUUGAUAUUCCUGUACCACCUAUAAUCGUUUUAAUCGAUGGGGGGACGCAGUAGGAUAGGCGAAGCGUGCGAUUGGAUUGCACGUCUAAGCAGUAAGGCUGAGUAUUAGGCAAAUCCGGUACUCGUUAAGGCUGAGCUGUGAUGGGGAGAAGACAUUGUGUCUUCGAGUCGUUGAUUUCACACUGCCGAGAAAAGCCUCUAGAUAGAAAAUAGGUGCCCGUACCGCAAACCGACACAGGUAGUCAAGAUGAGAAUUCUAAGGUGAGCGAGCGAACUCUCGUUAAGGAACUCGGCAAAAUGACCCCGUAACUUCGGGAGAAGGGGUGCUCUUUAGGGUUAACGCCCAGAAGAGCCGCAGUGAAUAGGCCCAAGCGACUGUUUAUCAAAAACACAGGUCUCUGCUAAACCGUAAGGUGAUGUAUAGGGGCUGACGCCUGCCCGGUGCUGGAAGGUUAAGAGGAGUGGUUAGCUUCUGCGAAGCUACGAAUCGAAGCCCCAGUAAACGGCGGCCGUAACUAUAACGGUCCUAAGGUAGCGAAAUUCCUUGUCGGGUAAGUUCCGACCCGCACGAAAGGCGUAACGAUUUGGGCACUGUCUCAACGAGAGACUCGGUGAAAUCAUAGUACCUGUGAAGAUGCAGGUUACCCGCGACAGGACGGAAAGACCCCGUGGAGCUUUACUGUAGCCUGAUAUUGAAAUUCGGCACAGCUUGUACAGGAUAGGUAGGAGCCUUUGAAACGUGAGCGCUAGCUUACGUGGAGGCGCUGGUGGGAUACUACCCUAGCUGUGUUGGCUUUCUAACCCGCACCACUUAUCGUGGUGGGAGACAGUGUCAGGCGGGCAGUUUGACUGGGGCGGUCGCCUCCUAAAAGGUAACGGAGGCGCUCAAAGGUUCCCUCAGAAUGGUUGGAAAUCAUUCAUAGAGUGUAAAGGCAUAAGGGAGCUUGACUGCGAGACCUACAAGUCGAGCAGGGUCGAAAGACGGACUUAGUGAUCCGGUGGUUCCGCAUGGAAGGGCCAUCGCUCAACGGAUAAAAGCUACCCCGGGGAUAACAGGCUUAUCUCCCCCAAGAGUUCACAUCGACGGGGAGGUUUGGCACCUCGAUGUCGGCUCAUCGCAUCCUGGGGCUGUAGUCGGUCCCAAGGGUUGGGCUGUUCGCCCAUUAAAGCGGUACGCGAGCUGGGUUCAGAACGUCGUGAGACAGUUCGGUCCCUAUCCGUCGUGGGCGUAGGAAAUUUGAGAGGAGCUGUCCUUAGUACGAGAGGACCGGGAUGGACAUACCUCUGGUGUACCAGUUGUCGUGCCAACGGCAUAGCUGGGUAGCUAUGUGUGGACGGGAUAAGUGCUGAAAGCAUCUAAGCAUGAAGCCCCCCUCAAGAUGAGAUUUCCCAACUUCGGUUAUAAGAUCCCUCAAAGAUGAUGAGGUUAAUAGGUUCGAGGUGGAAGCAUGGUGACAUGUGGAGCUGACGAAUACUAAUCGAUCGAAGACUUAAUCAA
This 1975-nucleotide ribosomal RNA is filed under the name Staphylococcus aureus. RNAcentral's name for it is "partial 23S ribosomal RNA". It matches the Rfam family "Bacterial large subunit ribosomal RNA", at positions 946 to 2925 of the family's 2925-position model. The record is from RNAcentral. Lineage: Bacteria; Bacillati; Bacillota; Bacilli; Caryophanales; Staphylococcaceae.